CCCUUAGAUGUUCUGGGCGGCCCGCGCACUACAAUGGCGCUUUCAGCGAGUUCCUAUGUUGAAUUUUCCUGGGUAUUCUUGGAAGCGGCGUCUUGACUUGGGAUAGAUCCUUGUAAUUGUUGGUUUUGAACGAGGAAUUCCUUGUAAUCGCGGUUGAUCAGCUCGCGUUGAAUACGUCCCUGCCCUUUGUACACACCGCCCGUCGCUCCUACCGAUGAAUCGUCCGAUGAAGUUCACAGAGUGGCGGUUCGUGGAGUUGCUCGCGAAGUGAAAUGGACCUCACGAUUUAGAGGAAGGAGAAGUCGUAACA
Molecule: ribosomal RNA, 310 nt
Filed under: uncultured eukaryote
Lineage: Eukaryota
Description: partial 18S ribosomal RNA
Rfam family: Eukaryotic small subunit ribosomal RNA
Source: RNAcentral